CAAUCAUAAAAGGUGGCUUUUAGCUACCACUUACAGAUGGACCCGCGGCGCAUUAGCUAGUUGGUGAGGUAACGGCUCACCAAGGCGACGAUGCGUAGCCGACCUGAGAGGGUGAUCGGCCACACUGGGACUGAGACACGGCCCAGACUCCUACGGGAGGCAGCAGUAGGGAAUCUUCCGCAAUGGACGAAAGUCUGACGGAGCAACGCCGCGUGAGUGAUGAAGGUUUUCGGAUCGUAAAACUCUGUUGUUAGGGAA
RNAcentral lists this ribosomal RNA (258 nucleotides) under Bacillus sp. R-31769. RNAcentral's name for it is "partial 16S ribosomal RNA". It matches the Rfam family "Bacterial small subunit ribosomal RNA", at positions 195 to 446 of the family's 1533-position model. The record is from RNAcentral. Lineage: Bacteria; Bacillati; Bacillota; Bacilli; Caryophanales; Bacillaceae.